Molecule: ribosomal RNA, 211 nt
Filed under: uncultured Thauera sp.
Lineage: Bacteria; Pseudomonadati; Pseudomonadota; Betaproteobacteria; Rhodocyclales; Zoogloeaceae
Description: partial 16S ribosomal RNA
Rfam family: Bacterial small subunit ribosomal RNA
Source: RNAcentral
GGUGGGGAUGACGUCAAGUCCUCAUGGCCCUUAUGGGUAGGGCUUCACACGUCAUACAAUGGUCGGUACAGAGGGUUGCCAAGCCGCGAGGUGGAGCCAAUCCCUUAAAGCCGAUCGUAGUCCGGAUCGUAGUCUGCAACUCGACUACGUGAAGUCGGAAUCGCUAGUAAUCGCAGAUCAGCAUGCUGCGGUGAAUACGUUCCCGGGUCUU